RNAcentral lists this long non-coding RNA (737 nucleotides) under Mytilus galloprovincialis (Mediterranean mussel). The record is from RNAcentral. Lineage: Eukaryota; Metazoa; Mollusca; Bivalvia; Mytilida; Mytilidae.
UGUUCGUCUUUGUUUAAAAUAGUUAUCAAAGGUACCAGGAUUAUAUUUCUAGUCGUAAAAAGUUACUACUUCAUAUAUCUGAAAAUUAAUAUGAUCACAUUUAAAAUAAAAUUAUUAUAAAGUCGAACAACAUAAUUUUUUAUUGACAUCAAACAUCUUGAGGUUCCAUUUUUAUUGUUUUAAUUUACAGGGCGAACUCUAUAUAAUUGCUUGUAUGCCAAAAGACAGUUCCUAACUCAGUCAACUGUCAGUCUUUGUGCUAGAAGCAUUACCGUGUGUUGUGAUUUCAUCGAAUCCAUCAGCCAUUACUGUUAGGUCCUAAAUGCAAUGCGUGUCGUCCCUUCAUUUUUCAUUAAUAAAGGAGUCGUAACGACAGACUAAUAUAUGGCAGGAAUUGUGGUCUAACAAAAUUCGCCUUUAACAAUAAUAUUUCCAAAACUUUGAAUUUACAUUGUAUGACCUCUUCGGAUCGUCAAAUUCGUAUUCAAUUUCUUUUUGAUAUCCUGAAGGACUUCUUCUACAAAAUGUUCUUUCAACAUAUUGGUUAAAACGUUGCGUCUUUUUGCACUGUGUGAUAUACUAACAUGUGAUCCUUUAAUGAUACUUUGAUGAUCGGUUGCUCGUCUUCUAUCUAAAGCAACCACCGUCUGUUGAUUGAUGAUUUUACACCGUCGAUAUCGGUUAAAAAUGAUCCAUUAGACUGUUUUCUUUCUCAAAUUAUAUGGUACACAUUCUGC